UUCGCAAUGCCCGAAAGGGUGACGAAGCGACGCCGCGUGUGGGAAGAAGGCCUUCGGGUUGUAAACCACUGUCGGGAGUUAAGAAAUACAAGGAUAUUAAUAGUGUCUUUGUUUGACUAAGGCUCCGGAGGAAGCCACGGCUAACUCUGUGCCAGCAGCCGCGGUAAUACAGAGGCGGCAAGCGUUGUUCGGAAUUAUUGGGCGUAAAGAGCACGUAGGCGGCCCUGCAAGUCAGCUGUGAAAUCCUUCUGCUCAACGGAAGAACGGCAGUUGAUACUACAGGGCUCGAGUGCGGGAGGGGAGAAUGGAACUUCUGGUGGAGCGGUGAAAUGCGUAGAUAUCAGAAGGAACAUCGGCGGCGAAAGCGACUCUCUGGCCCGUAACUGACGCUGAGGUGCGAAAGCUAGGGGAGCAAACGGGAUUAGAUACCCCGGUAGUCCUAGCCGUAAACGAU
RNAcentral lists this ribosomal RNA (454 nucleotides) under anammox bacterium enrichment culture clone 15 coculture 22d. RNAcentral describes it as "bacterial SSU rRNA". It matches the Rfam family "Bacterial small subunit ribosomal RNA", at positions 365 to 810 of the family's 1533-position model. The record is from RNAcentral.